CAGGAGAAAGAAGGACUCUGUGGAAAGUCAUCCCACCUGGGUGGAUGACACCAGGAUCGAUGCUGUAGCUAUUGUGGAGAAGAUCAUGCAGAGCCAGGACUUCACCGACGUCAGCAACAAUGAAGACAGUCACCUGAGGCUGUUUGUCAGCAGAGAUGGCUCCACUACUCUCAGCGGGAUACAGAUGGCGAACAGAGUCUCUGCGGGAGUGUUUGAGCCUGUGGUCAUUGAAAUCCACUAAAUGCACAUGAAGCUGAGGAUCCGGUCCGGAGUCCCAGGCUACGAGCCAAACGCACCUUUCCAGGCCGCAAGGCUGAGACCUUUCCCACGUGUGGGGAGGACAAGAAACCUAGCGAAGGUCUGGAAGCCCUGAACAGCCCCUCUCCUGGUUCCCUCUGUUCUUGAGUCAUCCUGGCACUUGUCGUGUGCACAUCUCCAGCACGUUUGAGCUCUCCAGCAUGUGACAGUGUUUUUGUCUGCUUCUAAUCACUCUGGCGAGGACACCCCAGGCUCUCGGCAUUCCCAGUCCUGCUCUGUGAUGGUGGAGAGGAGACAAAGCACCGUUCUUACUCUGUGACAACUGCAGCCAUUCUUCUUCUUUUUUUUUUUUUUUUUCUUGCAUGUUCCUUGAAACGACUGUGUAAUGUCUGCGUAGACCUUGUCAGUGAUGUACGGGUCAGCAGUUUAGAAGAGCUACAUCUGCGUUGUGAGGUUGCAGUCCCUGGAAAUUGUCCUGUGAAAUCAAAGCUAAGAAAAAUGCAUAAGGGGACCUGUCACUAGGUUUGGGGCCACUAAACCACCAGCAUGUCAUCAUGCAGCUGGCAUAUAGCUUUCUAAACAUGCCCCUGUCCCAACUAGACAUUUUAGCAUUAGGCAGUAAACGAACAUAUUAAUUAGCGUUGGCGCAUGUGCAGACGAAGCCGAGGACAGUAUAACUUGCUUCACUGCGCAUGGAAGGAGUAUUGUUCUUGGCCUUAUCUGUGCAAUGUGCAUGCAUCCAGUACCAAUGGACUUACAGUAUCUCCCAGACUCAUCCCAGAUAAGGCGACAUUCACACAACCGUAUGUGUUUUGCAGUCCGCAAAUUGCGGAUCCCCAAAACACGGAUACCGGCCGCGUGCAUUCCGCAUUUUGCAGAACACGCAUGGCCGACCCUAUGAUAGAAAUGCCUAUUCUUGUCUGCGAUUGCGGACAAGAAUAGAACCUGCUCUAUCUUUCUUGCGGGGCCACUGAACAGAACUACAGAUGUGGACAGCGACGUCUUUUGCGGCCUAUGGUCUGCCCCCCUUAUGCAAAAUUAGCGUCCUAAUUUGGAAGUUCUUUUACUACCUUAUGCUCAAACGUCCAGUUUUGACAGGCGAAGUCUCAGCUGCAUAACAACACACUUGUGGUUUAGUGGCGCAAAACCUAGUGACGGGUUCCCCUUUAAAGGGAACCUGGCGCCAGAAGCAGCUCCCCUUAAGUUUACAUUAUACAGCGGUGGUCAGCAACCUCCGGCACUCCAGCUGUUGUGAAACUACAUUUCCCAUCAUGCACACUUGCUUGGCCGUUCUCUGAACUCCCAUAAAAAUGAAUAGGAGCAUGCUGGGAGUUGUAGUUUCACAACAGCUGGAGUGUCGGAGGUGAGGUUGCUGACCCCUGCUUGUACAGUAUAUGAUGUCCCACAAUACAAUACUAAACUGCACCCUGAAUCUAUAAGGUAUGUUCACAGCAGCCGAAACCACAUCCGACGGGUAUAUGCCGUGGAAUCCACAGCAGAAAGCCAAGCAGGGCCCUUGGAUUUCUGCCGUGGGUUUGCAGUUUGUCAUCCGGUGUAUCUGUAUCUGACAGCUUAUGAGCCCCAUUGAAUGGGACGAAUCCACAUACGACUUAACUGGCUGAGGUGCAGAUUAAAAAAAAUAUAUCUGCGGACAUGUGAACGGCAACAUGGAUUCCCAAUAGGAUGCGUAUUUGACGUGGUUUUCCUUUCAGCUCAGAAUACUGGCUGAAAUCUGCAUGACAUGUGCGCCAUGUGAACGUACCUUCAUGCAGUGGUGACGUCUCCUGUGACCUCUGUCGGCUCUGGAGUGUUCUGGCAGGUUCCCCUUUAAUAAGAUGGUUUUCCUGUCCCGGCAUGUACUAAAUCCCAUAAUGACCAGUCGGGUAGGACUUAAAGUGGCUAAGUCCUAAAACCCCAUAGAUGCCAUGAAGCGUAUGAGUAAUAACCUAAAAAUCCCGGACUUCAACCUCACAGGCAGAUGUAAUUAACCCCUUCCUUUCUUACUAUGAUGGUACCAAGCUAUGUGAUUUCCUCCCGGGGGGGUUAUUGUCCCCUCUCAGUAGAAAGGCGCCAGUACAGAAUGGGAGUGAAGUCCCUACACUAGGUCAUAUAAAACAGCUGGACUGUUAUCAGGGCACCCUCAGGAAGGGGCCACGCAAUGCAGCUGGACUGCAGACACCCUCCGGCAGGGGUCAUGCAACACAGCUGGUCUGUAAUUUAACCCUUAAGGACUCCUCGGGUAGGAGUCGCGGAACCCAGCCGAGCUGCGGAUCUACUUGAGGACGUACGUGGAAGCAGCAGGGCUGUAAACGAUACCGUAGGGAACCACUUUCGGGAAGGCACAGCUGGAUGGUGAAUCCCAGGAGUGGACCUCGAAAAAGUUACCGUGAGGGACCACUGUAUUCUGUACUGAAGCCUUUCUUCUAUACAUUCCAAGAAACGAGGAACCCAAGCAAGAGCCAGUUGUCAGCGGGGGUCGGCUGCGCGGGCCGCAGCUCCUGGCAGAUUGCCGCUCGCCUGUACCCACUGUCGCAUGGUGUAGACUGCACAAUGAUAUCCUGAGCCAGCAGGCUGGUGUUUUCAUUUCAUUCCUGUAGCUAAUCAACAUUUUCAAUGUGAAAUUUUCUCCUGUGGAGUCAUCUGGUGCUCAGGGCGGUGUUUUUUCUUUUCUUUUUUUUUUUUUUUUUUUUUUUCAUGCAUUUUUCAUGUUUUUAUUAUUUUUAUUCCGUCUGAACAUCUGUAUGCCAAGGGAGCGUUGCGGGACUCCCUAAGGGACACGUUUUUUCGAAUACCAGACUCUCCUUCGGAAACCGGUCACCUGUUCUUACUUUUUCCCGUCGUGACGUUUAACGUAGUCGAUAUGUACGUACCGCGGAACCGGCGCCUGCGCUGCUAUACCGCCGUUCUGCACAAGCGACCACUGAUGUUUGGGGCACUUUAAAUGAUUGUUUGGGGCAUGGUGCAGGGAAUAUAAAUGUCUGUGUUAAUAACCUUUUUUUUUUUUUCUUUCCCCGUCCGUCGGGGGUCAUACAAAUCUACAAAAAAUUGUAGAAUUUGCAGAAGCGUGCAACUUUUUUUUUUUUUUUCCUAUACCAUUUUACUUUAUUCCUUAAUUGAAUCCUAAGCACUUGAGGGGUCAGGUGAGGGAUUAGGGCCCGGAUUUGUGAGUAAUUGAUCGUCAAAUUCUCCUGUGGUAAAAAAUAGUGUAAUUAUUAGGGUGUGGGGAUUCCUAGUGACAGGGGUUAGGCCGCCUGUGGCUCGCCAACCGAGCUAUAAAUCUAUUGAUCUAUAAUUCCCAGCAUGCUUUCGGGGAGAAACGCUUCAAAAAUCGAUGUGCCAAAGUUAUACUUCUGAUUUGAAUAUGGUCUGAGCCGCAGGCGCCCAAAUGUCAAGAGGUCCCGGCGCCUACUCACAGUGGAGGUAAACGAGCCCAUGUCGAAUCAUAGAACAUAGGGUUUCCCCCCCCCCCCCCCACAAAACUGCUCCCUCCACUUGGGUCCAGGUUGAGGCACCUCACUAGAAGAUUAUUGUGGCUUUCUAAGACAUGUAAUUGGUCUCAGGACUUCCCAACAGGAAGACGGUUUUGGGGUAAAGCCAACAUUUGCGCUGUAAUUUGCACUUUUUUUUUGAGCUAUUCUGUACCAAAAAAAAAUUUGUCCGAAGGGUAGUUUAUCGGAGGACAAGACUCCAUGCAAGAUUUGCAUUUGUAGAAGGAGACGUUUCUAAUGAAAAGCAUUGUCCGGAGCAGCGGUCAACUUGUGACUCUCCAGCCGUUGCAAAACUACAACUUCCAUCGGCUGUUUGGGCAUGCUGGGAGUUGGAGAUUCACAGCAUCUAAAGAAACCUGCUCCAGAGGACCUACACCAGCCAUCAGCAACCUCCAGCUGCUGCAAAGCUACAACUCCAUGCAUGCACACUUGCUUGGCUGUUCUUUAUAGUCCCAUAGAAGUGAAUGCGGCAUGCUGGGAGUUGUAGUUUCACAACAGCCGGAGUGCCAGAGGUUGCUGACCCCUGACCUACACUCUGGUGAUAGGCCCUUAGAUUACAAGUAUCUGUGGUCCGGAAUAUCACAUUUUCCUAUAACCAGGUCUAGGGUGGCUAUCCAUUCUGUAGAUCCUGUUGAUCAACAGCGCCACUAGUUAAACUGGUCACAAAGAGUACUGCACUUAAAAUGGAGUUAAAAUUAUUAUUUUUUAAGAAAAAUUAUCACAAUACAUGAAACUUUGUAUUUUUGGAGCAUAAGCUACUUUUUUUGAAAUAUAAAUACCUAAAAAAUGUAAUGUUACAUAAGGCACUUUCUAGAUCAGUGGUCUCCAACCUGUGGUUCUCUAGCAGUUGAGAAGCCACAACUCCCAGCAUGCUGGGAAUUAUCGUUUCGUCACAGGUUGGACAACCAUUGAUGUAGAUAAUAGAACUCGUGGGAAUGUUGGCUUACCCUAAACCGCACCUGGAUGGUACUUCUAGAUUAUAUAACCACUAUUUUUCUUAUUAUUAUUAUUUUUGAAUAUUGAGAAAUUCCACUACAAUUUUGUUUUGUACUCAGAUAAUAAAGUUAUAUGCAGAGAUAUAUAAUAAAAAGUCUAAAGCUAUUUUUGCUAAGAGAAGGUCCAAGGGUGCACAUAAAUUAGUCUAUUGGCCUUGGUGAAGAGCCUAUAGUUUUCAUAGAACAGAAAUUUCAAAGAAUAUUUUUUUCAUUUCCCAGAAUUUGAGAUGAAGCUCGGCACAUUUCAUUGUUUUUACAUCUCGCCUCUUGUUUUACGUUGUAAUUGCUCUUCUGAAUCCCUUCUGUAAAUCCUGUGAUCAGUGGCAUUCGGGAGAGAAUUGGGUAAAAUAAAGUUCUGUUUGGUUAACGCA
Bufo gargarizans (Asiatic toad) is the source of this 5112-nucleotide long non-coding RNA. RefSeq lists it as uncharacterized. NCBI's taxonomy places the organism in Eukaryota, Metazoa, Chordata, Amphibia, Anura, Bufonidae. The record is from RefSeq and is a predicted model, not a curated record. The transcript has 3 exons.